Molecule: ribosomal RNA, 207 nt
Filed under: uncultured bacterium
Lineage: Bacteria
Description: partial 16S ribosomal RNA
Rfam family: Bacterial small subunit ribosomal RNA
Source: RNAcentral
CGGAUUGCAGGCUGCAACUCGCCUGCAUGAAGCUGGAAUUGCUAGUAAUCGCGGAUCAGCAAGCCGCGGUGAAUACGUUCCCGGGCCUUGUACACACCGCCCGUCACACCAUGAGAGUCGGGAACACCCGAAGUCCGUAGUCUAACCGCAAGGGGGGCGCGGCCGAAGGUGGGUCCGGUAAUUGGGGUGAAGUCGUAACAAGGUAAC